Molecule: long non-coding RNA, 813 nt
Filed under: Mytilus galloprovincialis (Mediterranean mussel)
Lineage: Eukaryota; Metazoa; Mollusca; Bivalvia; Mytilida; Mytilidae
Source: RNAcentral
CUUUCUAAUUAUAUCUUUUUAUACAAAAAGCUUUAUACAAGAAUUAGUUAUUUUCUACAAUUACAAAGAAGAUUCACUUAGUUUUAUAUGAAAUAUUAAAAUUUAUUUCUUGUAAUAUUUUACCUCAUUUUACCUUCAUUAUAUAUCCCUGUUGUUCGAAGAAAUUGCUCCGCAAUUUUACAUUCGAAUUUAUUUCUUUUAAAACUUGUUUAAAUUUUAAAAAACUUUUUUUUUAAAUAUUCUCUUAACUGGAUUUGACUAUUUGACUUUGUGGCUUAUGAUCAGUUUAUAUUAGAUGUUUUGGUUAUUCAAGUUGUUAUGACCAAGAUGACUUAUUGCGUUUUAGAUAUUCUUAUUCUUAUUUUUCUUAUUAAUAAAACAAUUUUAUUCUUUAAUAUUUUACAUUUUUCGAUCUCUUCAUCUUUAUAGUAAGAGCGUUGGUGGUUUUUUUUUUAUUAUCAUUAUUAUUAUCGUUUCUCUAUUUUCAUAUAUGUGGUAAGCCCGCUUUUCUUGGUAGUCUGCUCGAACUCCAAAUAUACCCGAGUCAUUUCCUCUCUCUGGAGUAUGCUCAUUUUCCUGGGUACUUUGCUCCGACUCCAGAACUACCGCAAGUCAUACCCUCAUUUUCUUUUAUAUUUCUUUAGUCGGAUUUGUUGUUUGUUUUACAAUGGAUAGUUUUCUAAAACAUUUGAUUACAGUUAAGAUUUUACAUUAUGGUUAAUGAUUUGCUUAUGCUAGAAUACAUUAUGUUUGCUAUAAUCAAGGUUUUACAUGAUGACUAGCUAGGUCAACACAUUUAGCACUUAAUUAGGU